GAUGAACGCUGGCGGCGUGCCUAAUACAUGCAAGUCGAGCGAACAGACGAGGAGCUUGCUCCUCUGACGUUAGCGGCGGACGGGUGAGUAACACGUGGAUAACCUACCUAUAAGACUGGGAUAACUUCGGGAAACCGGAGCUAAUACCGGAUAAUAUAUUGAACCGCAUGGUUCAAUAGUGAAAGACGGUUUUGCUGUCACUUAUAGAUGGAUCCGCGCCGCAUUAGCUAGUUGGUAAGGUAACGGCUUACCAGGGCAACGAUGCGUAGCCGACCUGAGAGGGUGAUCGGCCACACUGGAGCGGAGACACGGUCCAUACUCCUACGGGAGGCAGCAGUAGGGAAUCUUCCGCAAUGGUCGAAAGCUUGACGGAGCAACGCCGCGUGAGUGAUGAAGGUCUUCGGAUCGCAAAACUCUGUUAUUAGGGAAGAACAAAUGUGUAAGUAACUAUGCACGUCUUGACGGUACCUAAUCAGAAAGCCACGGCUAACUACGUG
RNAcentral lists this ribosomal RNA (497 nucleotides) under uncultured bacterium. Its description in RNAcentral is "partial 16S ribosomal RNA". It matches the Rfam family "Bacterial small subunit ribosomal RNA", at positions 28 to 507 of the family's 1533-position model. The record is from RNAcentral.